This 26936-nucleotide long non-coding RNA is filed under the name Sorghum bicolor (sorghum). RNAcentral describes it as "long non-coding RNA (SBIC_LNC015751)". Lineage: Eukaryota; Viridiplantae; Streptophyta; Magnoliopsida; Poales; Poaceae. The record is from RNAcentral.
GCCCGAGUGGCAAGUCCAGAUGUUGCAGGGACACGCAGGGUGACAAGAAGGAUGAUGCAAGCCGCCCAGAUGGAGCAAGGAGGAUCCUCGCACCAUCAUGUUGAAGAGGGCGAUGAAGCGAUGUCAGUGGAUGCUUCAGACUCCAUGGGUCUACCUCCACAACGCACUCCACGCCCAAGGGACAGGGCUAGGCGUCACCAGCCCACAGGUAUGGACAGUCUCAUUAAUGACAUGGGCGAAUUGCAGAUUGGGCAAGAAGCAACAUUGCAACUGGCGUUACAAAACGGCCAACAUAUCCGACGUGUGCGAGAGGAAGACGCACAACGCUGGGCUGGAUGGUACCAAAAUUUCCCGCCACCACAGUGAGCGAAGAUCUAGCUUGGGGGAGAUCCUCUCCCCCACUAAGGUAAGUAUUCUAUCCUAUUUAUUUUCAUGCAUUUUAUCAUUCUUACUUAAAAAAAAUAUAAAUAUUUAUUAGCAUUUCCCUUUAGCAUAUAUGCUUCAUGUAUGUUUAUAUCCCUCAUGGAAAUUAUGACUAGUUGCUUGUUAAUGUUUCUCUAGUGCCUAGUAUACAACUUAGUAUUUCUCUAAGUAUGGAUCACUUAGCUCACUUAAACUGCCAUGAACCUAAAAACUUUGUGGGUUGCAAGUGCUAGAACUAAGUCUAAGUUGUUGUGGGACAUGAGAUAGUAAGACAAGAGCUACUAUAAUAUUUUUCUAAGCAUGCAUGAUUAUCAGAGAUUUAUUCUUAAAAUGAUCAAAAUCUUAAUUGUUCCUCAAUGGUGAUGAAUUCCUACCACAGCCAUAUCUACUUUACAUAAUUGCAACCUUUUCACAUAAGCUAUUUGCUUUGUGUUGAGUGUCGUCCAGUCUUGUUGACCCUUGUUAAGAGACUUUUCAUGCUCCUAAGAUCAAGAUCACGUACACACCACAUAUAUAUAUGCUGCUUCUACACUGGAAGUACGCAACCACAUGUAUUUCGCAUCCACUAAAUAGGUUGCUCCAUACUCUAAAUGUUAGAACAUCUCUCUAAGCAUUAUUUGGUAAAUGAGACAUCAAAAGGCUAGGCAAAAUGAAAUAAAAAGAUGGACAUGUGCAAGUCCACAGAAAAAGAAAAUUGAGCACAUGAAAGCUCAUAUAUAAAAAAAAAGAGAAGAAAAAAAAAUGCUAGCCAUGUCUCAAUACAUAGAGAGUCUAUCAAAUAAAGGAGCAACCUAGUCCACCAUAUAUCACACUUGCACAUCUUGAUCUGGGAGUAUGACACUUCUUUUCAAGGAUCCGAGCUUUGACUUCGCAAUACAUGCAAAGUAAGUAUGCUAUCUCCUUUCAUCCCUACCUUGAACUCCACAUAAGCCUUUUAGAAAUAGGAUGAAAUAGAGAAGGCAACUCUUACCAUAUGCCUUGGUGAGGAAUCAUACACCAUUUGAGUGACAUGAGAGAACCAUAAGAGGAACAUUUAAGCUUUCUUUUGAAAAUAUCACAAAACCUCUGAUAUGAAACUUGCUAAGAAUGAGAAAGUUAGUGCUCAAGUCAAACUGUUCUGUCUCUCAACCACCUAAGACAAAGGAAAAUCCAUAAGCCCCAUAAGGGACUAAGGUAAUAGGGGUAAGUUUACAUAGCUAAAUUUUUCAUGCAAAGAGAAGAACUUUGUUGUACACAUGGUACUCUUGAAAUGUGAACAUAGUAACAAUACCUGAUCCACCGAGGCUAAGUUUGAUUGUUUGCUCGGGACGAGCAAAGGUUAAGCUUGGGGGAUCUUGUUGACGGUGGAUAUACCAUAGAAAUCCACAUACAAAACACCGUCAACAUGCCUCGGUUGCAAGGGGAAAUGACAUGACAUGAACAUAUUUUAUCCAUAACUAGUUCCACUUGUACUCUUAGCUUGUUUAUGCAGGAACAACAAAUUCAAGACAUUAUUUGACAAAGCCAACAUCAGAAUCAUCAAGAGGAGAUCGAGGGGACAACAGGUGACACCCUGGGCCCACAGGGAGGGGGUCGCCCGACCCCUCUUUGGUGGGACCCAGGUGUGCCACCUAGUCCACCGACAUAAGGGACCCCUGUGGACACUGCUGGUGGGCCCAGAGGCCCAGAAGUGGGGUCGCCCGACCCCACAUCAAAGGCGGUUCCAGGGUCGGUGGCCUCCCACCGACCUUCCCCACAUGUCCCACAUGUUGAUUUGCCCCUGCCGUUGAUCAAAUGGCGGUUGUGAGGUCGGUUUGAUCCAAGGGUGGAGAGAAGAUGUCACGCGGAUCGAUGACGUGGCGAUGGAGUAACCCCUACUCCAUCUCCCUCUAUAAAAGGCAGCCUCCAUCCUUCAUUUCAAGUGUGCAAUUCCAAGGCCAAGUGCAUCACAAGUUCCAAGCAUACAAGUAGAGUAGUAGUUAGUCUAGAGUGGGAGUUAGAGUCGAGUCGAGCGAAGCUCGGGGUCUCCGGAGUCGUCUUCUGGAGAGUCUGGUAUAGCUCUUGUACCUUUCUACUUUUGUAAGACUUUCCUUUUAUUAAUAUAUUAUUCUUACUUUACUUUACUGAGUUCUUACUUAGUGCAAGUCUUUUAGUCUUGUUGUGCAUUUACUUUAGUAAUAUAGUUGUCUUAGUGAAGUUAGUGACCUGUAACCACUCCUGUGUGUGCAUCAUCGUCCUAUCUUGUAUAGGAGCUCUAGCUAGCUGCAACUAGUUAGAGUUGUAGGAUUAAGUGUGAGCGUGGUGCUCAUACUUAAGAUUACCUUUGAUUACCGCUGGCUUGAACGGAAAGUAGGAGCGCACUCCCUAGUAGGUGACAGAUCGUGGGCGGCAUUAGGUUCUCCUCACGUACAGGCUAGUUCUUAAAAGGUAAGGCGUCCAUAAGCCCAAUAGUCGCUUUCGGUAAGGGGUUAGGUGAAAAACCUUCUAAGCGUCUUACCAGCUCGGCUAUCCCUCGCACACAGUUAGUAAGGCUCUAGCGUAGUUAAGGCAAUUAUCUAUUAAAGUAAGUCACAGAAGUCAAGUUAGAUACAUAGGAGUCCUUUACUCACUCGUUGUCCUCCCACCUAGCUAACUCUACCAUUUACCUUUAGCAUAGGACCUUGGAUUCACCACUACCCUUCCUAUUCGUUAUUUACCACCCUUAUUCACUAGUUGAUACUAGAUAACUCAAGGAAUCUCAUUCCCCUUUUUGUUAAACACACUUAGCCGCUUUCCCUUGGGAAAAUAUAAAUUACGAUACCUUGGAAUACUCCUUGGUGAAGUGCUACAGCGGUACAUUCUGUGCGCUUGCGGAAUUAUCCAAUAGUAAAUAGAGUUACCCUAUCAGGGCACUUCUGGCGCCGUCGCCGAUAUCCGGUGGUUGCGUUAAGAAGUGUCAACAACCUCCCAAGAGAUCGAGAGAUCGCUUAUCGCCGUCCGCAGCCGACGGUUCAAAGCGACCUCCCCCUCGAGCUGAGCCUUGGCGGAGCGGGCCUCGACUUGAGCGGCAAGCAGCUCGUCUUUAAGCCCUACAAGGACCGACAUGGAGAAAUUAGAUAACACAAAGCGCACCUCGAAAAGGAGACUCAACGAUAGAAACCUACCGCGAAUACUUUCCUCCAGAGCCGUAUUCUCGCCGACCAACUUGGUGUUGGCUCUCUCGAUCUCCUUGCUGGAGCGCACCAGCUCGGUGUUGGUGACGCGCAGGUCCUCGAUCACCUUACCGGCCUGCGUGAUGGCUCCUUCCUUCUCCAGCAGCGCCCUCUUCAGACGAUCGAUGUCGUCAGAGAGGCUACGAGAUCGAGCCCGCUCCACCUCGAGAUCAUCGAGAUCCUUCUUUUUGGCCUCCUCCGCGGCGCUCCUGGUGAUCUCACCAUUCACACACUCCACCUUCAUCCUCUGGAAGGACUCUUGGAUGGAGGCCAGGUCAGUCUUGAGGAGGCCCUUCUCCUUGUCCAGGUUAGCGACGGCGUUCUUGUAAGACAAGGCCUCCUCCUGGGCCUUGGACGCGGCUUCCUCGACCAUCAUGGCCUGCUCCCUCAACAGCGUAGCCUCCUCCACCGCCUUCCUCGAGGCCUCCCGAGCUUCCGACAAAGCGGCCUCCCUCUCCUUCUUCUCCUCCUCGAGCACCAGCAGCUCCUUAUAGGCCUUGAGGAGCUUCUCCUGCGAUUCCAGGAGUUGAUCCUUGAGGAGAGGGAGUUGCUCCCAGCCACCCCUUGUUGCGUGGAUAAAGCUCGAUUUGAUGUGGGAAGUCUCUUUCAAGUCCUGCGAGCCAGCGAUUGGGUAGUUAGAACACAAAACCAAACAUCCUAUAAGGAUUAAGGCCCGAAAAACACUUACAAAGUAGGCCGGUCCGAGCCCAUUGUUAACAACGUCAAACAGGAGCCCCACCACAUGCUUCAUCUAGAGGCGAAGCACCUCGACGUGCUCCCACUUUUCGACCUCCUUCCGGUCCUCUAGGAAAAUGUUAGGUUCGGACGGAUCGGUGGAGGCCCGGAUGCGGAUCCGGUCGGGGCACCAGUUCUCCAUCUCCAGGUCGGCGCGCGCCUUGACUUCUCAGAUGAGCUCCUCGACUGUCUCGAGCGACCCGCCGUGGCACAGGAAUAGGUCGACGAGGGAGGGGAACCGCCCGUCGUCAUCCACCGUCUUCCAGGUCCCAGUCUCGCUACCACCACCACCGCCUGAUUUUCUGGCCUCGUCCUCCUCAGCAGGAAUGCGGUCCUCCCACGACCGACGCUCUCGAAGGAAUCCCGUCCAUGCCGUAGAUCGUACCCUUGAUCACGGACUGAGGGUCGACCGGGGUGCGCAUCAUACAGGCGAGCGCCACCACGCCGUCCUCCCGCCCCGACUCUGCUGAGAUCGAAGCGGGUGCCCCUGGACGGAGCCACGCCGGGGUCGGAGGACCAUAAACUGGCAGACUAUCCUCCCUGUUUCCAGGCUCUUGCGGCGCUGGUGGCACUGGUUGGGGCGGACUGUGAGAGGGAGACUCGAGCAGUUCCUCUAACUGCUGGCCCCUCUACUGCUGCUGCUCCUAGAGCUCCUGCAGCUCCUGUUGACGGUCCUGCUCCAGCAGCUCCUCAAGCUUGGUACCUGCUGGCGGCUGCCCCUCCUCUCCCUCUUUCUGCUGCAGCCGCCGCUCCUCCUGCGGCUGUUGCCGCGUCUCUUGCUCGCGCUCCUCUUCCUCCUUCUUCCUCCGCUCUUCGACGGAGCGAAGGCCGGCAGGCCAGGGCGUCCGCUUCGCGACGGGGGAGGUCUCGACCUCCUCGUCCAUAGGACGGGCGUCCUUCGAAGACCCAUCGCUGCCGGACCCAUCACUUAUAGUGAUAGGAUCCCCCUCGACCCCAGAUCAGGGAGGCUUGGGGGCUCCCUCCUGCUCUUGGGGGUGAGGUGCCGCGACCCGCUUCGGCGAUGGUGGGACGGACUCACCCACUAGGGGACGGGGCGGGGCGCUCUCGGCACCAUUCGGCGGUCGAGGGUCGGAGGAGCCUAUAAAACACACAAAAGCAGAGGUCAGACGUCACGAUGAUUGACGUAAGAACAACAAAACUCCCAUAUUGACGGGAAUGAGCCGCUAACGUGAAUAUUUGGAGGCCGCUCCCAAUUUAAGCCUUUUGGCCAUCGAGGGUUGGGCCUGCUCGAGCGUCCGCUUCAACCUGAAGAGAGAAGAAUGGGCAUGAGAGUGGCCGUUACACGAGAAAACGCAAAGACAUAGGAAGAUGAGAGUCGUAGCGUCGACGACCUUACCCCACAGGGAGAACGGCCCGCCUACCGGUACCUCGACCGGCAGGCCUCGAACCGCCCCGUGUCGAGGCUCUAGGCCCCUCACGAACGGGCGCAGGCCUCGGCUCGGCAUCUCCCGCCUGGCGAGCGCCAGGGCUAGCGCUCCUGUGGCUUGUUUCCCCCUUGCCGGAGGCCGCGGCACGGAGACGGGUCAACGGCCCCGUCGCCUGGGGCUUAGCCCGGUCGCCCGCCUUUGGCGCAGGGGGAGGUUGGGGGCGCGGGACGGACCGACUUUGCGAAGGCACGGGAGGGGUAUCAGCACGAGGAUGGCAUGGGGAUGACUCCCUCUGUUGCCUCUCCAGAGACCCGCUUCGCUCCCCCUUUGGGGCUCCCGUCCGUGGGGCGUCGACGUCGGUCCGAGGCGGACCCUCGAGGAUCCUGUCAAGACGGGACGCCAUCCCCUCGGAGUCGUCGCUGUCGUCAUCAUCAUCGUCGCCGUCGUCCUCAUUAGGGGACUCUUCCUCAGGCUCCCCCCUCUUUCUAGACUUCGAUCGACGUGUCUCCAGCGCUUGGCGCUCGAGAUUCUUCUUCUUCUCAUUCUUCUUUUUUAAGUCCAUUGCGGACUUCUGCUUUUCCGCGGACUCUCACCGCUUAUCACGAUCGACCUCGUCCUCCUUACCGGGGGCUUGGAAGAUCGAACAUCGAUUGAACCCUGCACAAGUGGAGACAGGUUUUAAGAAGGAUCGAAGAAAAUCCGGAAUCGAAACCAUAAGCGAGGGAAAAACUUACCAGGUCGAUCGACCCCUUGUUAGGCCUUGUUGACACCAUUUUUGGGCACGUGUCCAUGAUCGGUAGAGUGUAGGUCGGCAAGACAAGACGGCAGUGCUUGAUCUACAGGAUGAGUUGCCGAUGAGGAUGGUUGCCGAUGGAGGGAUGGCUGAACAUGACCAAGUCCAUAGGUGAUGAUGUGUUUAUGCCGAUGGCUACAACAAGGGAGUCUGCCGAUGAUACGGAGGAUGCACCUGGAAAUUGCCGAUCGGUUUGUGGAGGUGUUCCAGUUUGUCACGGGAGGAUAGUUUUAUGUUUUCCUUAGUUAUUUAGAUCGUUUUAUAUACGGAUUCUGUUUAAUUUGGAAUUCAAGUUCUAGUCGUGUCUGGUUGUAGCUCUUUGAACAGGGUAUAAAUGUAGACCCUAGGGCCUUGUAAUCUAUCUAUCUAUCAAUCUAUCAAACACAAGUUUUUACUCAUAUUCCAGCAUCUACUUUUUCAACGACUUCGUUAUAUUUUCCUUUUUACUAUGAGUUCUUAGGAAUUCGUCGACUUAAGCUCGGCGUAUUCUCGAGUUCCGCAUGAGUACCUCUUGGUCAUGACAUCCGGGCGCAUCGCUGUUGUCAGGACCAAAGUGUUCGAGUUACCACCUUUGCCGAUAGUAAGGUCAAAUCGGCUAGCAUGCCUUAACGUUUGAAUCGGGUAUUAGCCCUUUGUGUUUGCAGAUCCGCUUUUGCAUCAACACAUCUUUUGGCACGCCUGGUGGGACAGAUUCAAGAUCAAGAUCAACAUGUCGACUACUGAGUUUGAACAGGAGAACGUCAUCCCCGUGACGGAAGCCAAUCUCAAGGAUGAGCAGAAGCAAGCUAUUGCUAAAGCCAUGGAGGAUUAUAAGCAGCAAUGCCUGAGGUCCUUCAGCAUAAACAGGAGCGGCGAGGUGAUCUAGAAGGAUGCACUGCCGACGCCUCGGCAGGUUACUUUUGAAGCCAAUCCUGGUAAACUUCAAGAGAUGGUUGAUAGUGCUAUCAACCGUGCUUUGAUCAACCAAGCUGGUGUGCUGUCCAAUACGGAUUUCAAUGCCGUGGCUAGAACUUUCAAGGAAGGACAAUUUCCACCAGAUUAUGUGGGCCCCUCUCAUCAUCAGCCAGGGUCACCGGUGGUCACAGCUCCAUCGGCUGCUACAGCCGCUGCGGGAACACAGACUACUUUUCCUCCAAGCACGUUGGGGGUCACUAAUGCACAAUCUACGCCGAUGACAACUAAUCCACCGACUUCAGAUGAGCAGAUUAGGCUCACUACAGAUCUAUUGGCAUCGGCAAUGUCAGGACCAGUCCCUCCUCCUAACUGGUGGGGUUUUGGUAUGCCCCCAGAAUACUUGAAGACACCUGGCACAUCUCAGGCAACUGAUAUGAGAGGCAAGACCCCUAUGGCAUCGGCACCUCCAAAUAUGCCGAUGAACCAGAGUCCCCAGUAUACUACAACUACUACUGCAAGACCCUACACUGGGAAUUCUCAAGCUCCGACAUUCCAGAUGCCUAACGCAUCGGCAGACUCAAUGCUGAUGCAACAGAGGGUUAUGACUCAGCCAGGGUAUGUCAAUUCGAUGAUGAUGCCCAAUUACCAGUCAUCGGCAGGACCUAUGCCGAUGAAUGCUAAUAAUGGAUGGCUUGGGCAGCAAGUCUUCCCGCAAACGCCCCAACAAAGUCAUCAGGCUACAGGGUUCCAUCAAGGCCAGAUCUAUCCCGAGUUCCAGAAUCAGGGAAUGCCCAACCAGCCAAUGAAUCUUGGGCAGCAGGUCGGCGGAUAGCAGAUUGGCGGGCAACAGCUUGGUGGUCCGCAGAUUGGGGGCCAAAUGAUUAACCCAAUGUUUCAUGCAGAUCGUGCGCCGCAUAGACACAUGGAAGCUUACCAGCAGGUGCCGGAUCCGCAACCACCUCAUCGGCAAGAUGCCGAUGCCUAUUGGGCCGAUAAGAUUGCUGAAGUUAUGAGGAAUCAAUUUGGGAUAAAGCCCAAAGUCAAUACUUACUCUUAUCGGACACCGUAUCCUCCCGCAUAUGAUUUGAUCCCACUUCUCAAUCGGUACAAAGUACCGGAUUUUACUAAGUUUUCUGGGCAGGAUGACACGUCAACCAUGGAGCACGUCAACAAGUUCAUCAUCCAAUGCGGGGAAGCUGGUAACAGGGACGAGUUAAGGGUUCGCUUAUUCUCGUCAUCAUUGUCUGGAUCGGCUUUCACCUGGUUUAUAUCAUUACCUCCCAAUUCAGUGAUUACUUGGGCCGAUCUGGAGAAACAAUUCCACAAAUACUUCUUUUCUGGGGUCCAUGAGAAGAAGAUCACCGAUCUGGUCAAAUUGAGGCAGCGCAAUGACGAAUCGGUUGAAUGUUUUGUGCAGAGGAUACGGGAGGUCAAGAACAAAUGCUAUAGCCUGGUUCUGGAUGAUCGGCAGUUAGCCGAUUUGGCUUUCCAGGGUUUGUUGCCACACAUCAGAGAUAAGUAUGCGUCUCAGGAGUUUGAAAGCUUGAGUCAUUUGGUGCAGAGAAUUUCUGAUCAAGAUAUCAAGCCCUUUGAGCCCAAGAGAGCAUGGAACAAAAAGGUAUCGUUUGUUGAUGAGGCGGCAUGCUCGGACUCUGAUGAAGAACCAGUCAUCAGCUUGGCUGAAUGGGUGAAAAACAAGAAGCCGAUGUCUUGUCCUUUUGGGCACAAGGAGCCAAAGAAGUUCGCAUUUGACAUCACUAAGGCCGAUAGGAUAUUUGACUUUCUACUUCAAGAGGGUCAAAUCAAAUAGUCACCCAAUCAUCUGAUCCCGUCGGCUGAGGAAUUGAAAAGGAUGAAAUAUUGUAAGUGGCACAAUGCAACUUCUCACGAUACUAAUGAGUGUAAAGUUUUUAGACAGCAGCUGCAAUCGGCUAUAGAGUCCGGGAGGAUCAAAUUUGACAGCUCCAAAACUCAGAAGCCGAUGAAGAUUAAUCAACAUCCUUUCUCGACAAACAUGCUGGAUGCUAAGGGAAAGGCCAAGGUCUUAACAUCAGAAGCAGCCGAAAGAAGUACAUCGGAGGAUCCUCAACAUCAGGUCACUACUGCCGAUGCGAGAGGAAGGGGCUUGAUCCAGGAAGGAACCAGCUCAGGAAGGCCUCCCCGAUCUGGUAUCGUUAUAACUCACAGAAGACCUCGGGAAACUUGGCAGCAGCGUGAGGAUCGAUAUCGGCACCAGCAGGAAGAUUAUCGUCGGGAAGAAGAAAGACGCCGAUUGGAGUGGAAUCGGCAUAGGGAUCACUGGAAUUGCCCGUUCUUCAUCCAUUGUUGGGAGGAGAAUAUCAAGCUUCCCACUGUCAGAGAUUGUCUUGAGUGCAACGGUUAUGAUCGGUAUGACAGAUCCGAUCGGCGCUAUCACGAUGAUAAUUGGCAAUUUAAUGGGCCGAUUAGGGGAAGAGCGUCCGUUCAUGACAGGCUGGGGGGCAGGCUCAGCAUACACGACAGGCUCGGUGAUCGCGUCGGGUAUUUUCCCAGGAACCAGGAAGAACUUGAAGAAAUGGCUAAUGCUCGGGUUCCCGAUGAGUUCAUAUUUUGUAGGGAUGCCAACACUCAUCAAAUGGAGUCAUGGGAAAAUCGUCGUCCAUCGGUAAGGCAGCAGCAACUUCCUCCUUGGUGUCCAGAAGGGUAGACCAGAACACAGAAGAGAAGACUGCAGCGUGAAAGGCGAGAAGGGUUAAGCAAGGGCGAGAACUCUGGCCAGUCUAGGAAUCAGCAGCAAUCAGAUCCCAAGGGGGAAGGUAAAUCGGUAGAUGUCAACAUGGUCUUUAUGUUGCCGAUGGAGUUCCUUGCGCCAUCCAGUGAUGAUGAGUUAGAGUUUUCCGACCAAAUAGCUCAGUUAGCUCUGGAUCCGAUGACAGCCAUCUUCGAGAACCCUGCUGAUGAUGAAAGGCAACAUCUCAAGGCUUUGUUUGUCAAAGGAAGAGUGGAUGGUCAGCCAAUGACUAAGAUUCUCAUUGAUGGUGGAGCUACUAUUAACAUCAUGCCUUAUGCAGUGUAUCGGAAACAUGGGAAAGGAGAUGAGGAUUUGACCAAGACCGAUAUGAUGUUAAAGGACUUCGAGGGGAACGUGUCUCCAGUCAAGGGAUAUGUGUUGAAUUGACCAUCGGCAGCAAAACCUUGCCGACAACUUUCUUCGUAAUCAGUGGAAAAGGUGCAUAUAAUUUACUGUUAGGGAGAGAUUGGAUUCAUGCCAAUUGUUGCAUCCCAUCUACAAUGCACCAGUGCUAGGUCCAGUGGGUAGGUGACAAGAUUGAAAUUGUCCCAGGGGACUCUUCAUAUGUUAUUGCAUCAGCAGAGGCAGACACCUAUGAAAGGACUAGGUGUAUUUCAGGAGAAGCUUGGGAAAAGGAUUUUCUCAAGGUUGCCGAUUAUGAAAUUCCACCGAUCCAAGCAGUCGGUUCUGAUGAAGGUUUUUAAUGGAUAGAUUCACCGAUGAUGGAAAGUUAGGCUAGGGGUUCACAUCGGCCGUUGAUUUGGUAGAAGUAGAUAUAGGUAGUGGUGAUAAACCUAGACCUACUUUUAUUAGUGCUAAGUUAGAUCCUGAAUGUAAGCAACAGUUAACUGAUCUGUUAAAGGAAUAUAAAGAUUGCUUUGCUUGGGAUUAUACCGAGAUGCCUGGUUUGGACCGAUCAAUUGUUGAGCAUCCAUUACCUAUCAAGUCCGGAUUUCGGCCACAUCAACAGCCGGCUCGCCGAUGUAAUCCUAAUAUUCUUCCUGAUAUUAAGGCCGAGAUAACCAAACUUAUUGAAGCCAAAUUUAUUCGGCAGUGUCGGUAUGCCGAGUGGAUUUCCAAUGUUGUUCCGGUCUAUAAGAAAAAUGGGAAGCUUCGGGUCUGCAUUGAUUUCAGGAAUCUUAAUAAAGCUACGCCGAUGGAUGGCUACCCAAUGCCAGUUGCCGAUCUGUUGGUUGAUGCUGCGGCUGGCCAUCGGAUUAUCAGCUUUAUGGAUGGCAAUGCAGGAUAUAAUCAAAUAUUCAUGGCUGAAGAAGAUAUUCCAAAGACCGCGUUUAGAUGUCCUGGUCAUGUUGGAUUGUUUGAAUGGAUAGUCAUGACCUUUGGCUUGAAAAAUGCUGGUGGUACCUAUCAGAGGGCUAUGAAUUUUAUAUUUCAUGAGUUCAUCGGCAAGCUGGUGGAAAUUUAUAUUGAUGAUGUGGUGGUUAAGUCUGGAGACUUCACAAAGCAUCUUGCCGAUCUACGAAAGGUGUUGGAAUGCACAAGGAAACAUGGUUUGAAAAUGAAUCCCAAUAAAUGUGCAUUUGGUGUAUCGGCAGGACAGUUUCUUGGUUUCAUGGUACAUCAAAGGGGGAUUGAAAUUAGUCGAAGAUCUAUUGAUGCCAUCAAUAAAAUAGUGGCCCCUACCAACAAGACCGAGCUCCAGUCCUUGAUCGGCAAGGUAAAUUUUAUGAGAAGGUUUAUAUCUAAUUUGUCUGGUAAAAUUCGUGCUUUCAGUCCUCUUCUUAAGUUAAAGGCCGAUCAAGAGUUUGUUUGGGGGGGGGAACAACAGUUGGCUCUGGAUGAAAUCAAGAACUAUUUAGUGAAUCCUCCUGUUCUAGUUCCACCUCAGCAAGGGAAGCCCUUCAGAUUGUAUUUGUCUACCGAUGGGAUGGUCAUCGGUUCGGCUUUAAUUCAAGAAUUUGAAGGGAAAGAACGUGUGAUUUAUUAUUUAAGCAGGAGGUUGAUUGAUGCUGAGACUAGGUAUUCGGCUAUUGGGAAACUAUGCUUGUGCUUGUAUUUCUCCUGUAUCAAGUUAAGGCACUAUUUGCUAUCGGCCGAGUGCACUGUUAUUUGCAAGGAUGAUGUAGUCCGGUAUAUGCUGUCUAUGCCGAUUAUGAGUGGCAGGAUUGGUAAAUGGAUUUUGGCUCUGUCGGAGUUCGAUCUGCGUUACGAAUCAGCUAAGGCAGUUAAGGGACAGAUUAUGGCUGAUUUUGUAGCUCAACAUUGCGGCGCAGUGGAAGCUUUGGAAAUUGUACCUUGGACGCUCUUCUUUGAUGGAUCCACAUGUGACCGGGGGGCAGGAAUCGGCAUAGUGUUAAUUUCCCCUCGGGGAAGGAAAUAUAAGUUUUCCUUGCCGAUUUUUGCCACGUCGACAAAUAAUCAGGCUGAGUAUCAAGCUUUAAUAAAGGGAUUGGAAUUACUAAGAGCAGUUCAUGCUGAUGCUGUUGAGGUCUUCGGAGAUUCUAUGCUAGUUAUAAAUCAAUUGGCUGGAAGCUAUGAAUGCCGAAGUGAAGUCCUCAUAACUUAUUACGAAAGGAGUAUGCAACUGUUAAAGGGAUUCAAGGAUUUCCGAUUAGAGCAUGUCCCUCGAUUGUAUAAUGAAGAGGCCAAUCGGUUGGCGCAGCAUGCCUUGGGAUAUCAGCCUAUGAUUAAUGCAAUAUCGGCAAUUGGUGCUGAUGAUUGGAGAAAAGAGAUCGUUGAUUAUUUGAAUGAUCCAUCUAAGAGAGUUGAAAGACGAGUCCGGUUUCAAGCCAUCAAGUAUGUGCUCCUCGAAGAUGAAUUGUAUUAUCGAACUAUUGAUGGGAUUCUUCUCCGAUGCUUAGGUGAUGAUGAAGCUAAGAGUUUGAUGGGAGAAAUUCAUGAAGGGGUAUGUGGAGCACAUCAGUCGGCUUUUAAGAUGAAGUGGAUGAUUAGGAGGAAUGGGUAUUAUUGGCCGACCAUACUUGAAGACUGUUUUAAAUAUUUCAAGGGAUGUCAAGGAUGUCAGAAAUUUGGCAACAUCCAGAGAGCACCCGCAUCGGCCAUGAAUCCUAAUAUCAAGCCUUGGCCGUUCCGGGGAUGGGCUAUUGACUUAAUCGGUCAGAUUUAUCCGUCAUCUAGCAAAGGGCAUAAGUUUAUCUUGGUUGCCACCGAUUAUUUCACCAAAUGGGUUGAGGCUAUUCCUUUGAAGAAAGUUACAUCGGCCAAUAUGAUUGAUUUUGUAAAAGAGCACAUCAUUUACCGAUUUGGAAUUCCUCACACGAUUACCACCGAUCAGGGCACUAUGUUCACUUCAGGGGAGUUUGAUGAAUUUGCAAUCGGUAUGGGAAUUAAAGUAUUAAAUUCUUGUCCCUAUUAUGCUCAAGCUAAUGGGCAGGCCGAGGCAUCUAACAAAGGGAUUAUCAUGCUUAUUAAGCGAAAGAUUGAAGAAAAUCCUAGGAGGUGGCAUACAUUGUUAAGCGAAGCUCUAUGGUCAUAUCGGAUGGCUUGUCAUGGGUCGACCAAGGUUUCACCUUAUCAAUUGUUGUAUGGGCAUGAUGCAGUGCUACCUUGGGAAAUUAAGGCUGGGUCUAGGGGAAUAUCUUUCCUAGAUCAAUUGGCUGCCGAUGAUUAUGCUACUUUGAUGACAGACGAGUUGGAUGAUCUAGCAGGACAUCGGCUGAAGGCCUUGAUGAGUAUAGAAGAGAAUAAAAAGAGGGUUGCCAGAUGGUAUGAUAAAAAGGUAAAAGUUAAGGAGUUUGCCGAUGGAGACUUAGUGUGGAAGUUAAUCUUGCCGAUCAGGACUAAAAGUUCAAAAUUUAGGAAGUGGUCUUCCAAUUGAGAGGGUCCCUAUCGGAUAGGUCGAUCGGCUCCUGGUAAUGCCUAUAUUUUGGAAACUCUCGAAGGAGUUGAAUUUCCCAGAGCAUUAAAUGGCAAAUAUCUAAAGAAAUACUACCCCAGUAUAUGGGUCGAUGCAUAAAAGUUUAGAUGCCGAUAACAUUCCUAUCGGCUGGAUCAAAAUAUGUCUGGGGCCGGACUUAAUGUUUCAAGAGAUGCCGAUAACAAUCCUAUCAGCUAGACUAAACGUCAGGAAAGCUGAAGAGGAGAGAGGCGAGGAUGUAUUGCCGAUGAAGGGCUCAUGUGUUCAACAGCGCCUGGAUCGUCGAUAUGGCGCGUGGACGAAUCUGGUUGGCUUCCUCUAUCUCCUUCAUGUCGUCAUCGGUAGAACCUUCUACCGGCUUUAACUUCUUCUUCAGCAGCAGUGCCUUGUGACCAUGGACAUUUCGCUCUUGCUCAAGAAGCUUGAUUGUCUCCGGUAGUUGGCUUUCUUCCUGUCGGGCUUGGGACAGGGCAUCCUCUACUUGUUUGAGUUCUGCCAGCAAAAUUUCUCUUCUCGCCGAUAGAUCGGAAAUCUUCUGCUUCAAUGCAUCUCCUAAGGGUUGUAAAAUGCCGAUGUUCUUGUGCUUCUCUUUGGCAAGGAGUUUCACCUUCAUCAUUUCCUCGGAGAGUUGGGCAUGAGCCGCUCUGUCGGCAAGGCGCCGAGCAGCUUUCUGGUACUGCAGCUGACGGCUCUCCAGAUGUGCAGCCUGGAAGAGAAUUUCUUCAGCAUCGGCAGGAAUUUGACCUCUCAAAGUCUUGAAUAAAGCCUUGGCCGGAUCAGAGUCAUCAACUAGUUGGGCCAUGUCUUGAUGGAGGAGAGCCAACAGUUCUUCCAGCUUUGCCUUGAUCUCUGCCGAUGUAAUCCCAACUACCCGGGAGGAACUUGCUUCCUCACCUUCAUCUUCGGAGAUAUCAAUGGCAAAGGAGAACAGGCUGUCGGGAGAGUCCUGUUCCUGAAAAAGAAAACAAAGUGAGUCAUUCCAUGAUCAAGCAUCGGUAAAUAAUACUGAUGGAGAUUAAAUAGCUUACUUGUUUCAAGGCGAUCUCUCGCCUUUGACUGGAAGAUGCUGGUGGAGCUGUAGGCUGAUCGGUUGAGGUUGCCGAUGAGACUAUGUCGGCUGGAAAACAGUAGAGGUAAUUGUAAAACAGAGAAAAUAAGUUCAUUGGCAGUAAUCUCAUAAAAGUAUGUUACCUUGAGGAAGAGCAGUACUUGUCUGGAUGGAAGAGACCACCGAUGCUAUAAUGGAACCUGCUGGAUCGGUAGUUUGUUCAUGCACAUCAGCCGAUAUGUCUUCUGGCUGAGGUACUUCUGGUUGAGGCUCUUCUGGUUGGGGCUCUUCCACUUGUGGUGCUUCUUGCAUCGGAGGGGGGAUGGCACUUGUUGCAUUUGGACUUCUGGGAGGAAGGAGAGGAUUCUACUGGAAGUGGAGAUACUGGAGGAGAAGAAGGCGUUGCUACUCUUUGGCGCUUUGAUUGUGCUCUGGUGUUCUUGGCACCCUUUCUCUUCGGUUGACUGGACUGGGGGGCAUCGGCACUUUUGCUUCUGGUCUUUGCCGAUGCGCCGAUCUGCUGAUAUGGAGAAAAAUUUAUGAAUACAAGUAUAUGUAAAAGUGGAAUCACUAUGAAUGGAAAGAUUUAACAAUCACCUUGAAGGCCUGUGCUAAGGUGGAGGCGGCUAUCGAUGGAGAUGUCUUGGUCCUCUUGGUGGUCACUUUCUUAAGGCGCACACCUCGGUGCAUAAUGGCAGCUAGUGUGGGAGCAUUGUUGCCGAUUGAAGAGAUCGGACCUGAUGGGAACAGGUCAAUCGGCUUGCCGCUCCUACUGACAGAUGGGGGAGUGUAGUCAACCUGCAACAUGACACAAAGGGUGAGUUACCGACGAAGAUAAGAGUAAAAGGACUAGAACAUCGGUUUAGAAGUACUUACAGUGUCAUCGGGGACUUUGUACUGAGGAUCGAUCAUGCCACGAUAUGUAAGGGCCGAUCUGCAGAACAAAUGCUCCUUCCACUCCUCCCACCAUUGCUUGUAUGCCUGAGUAAUAAAGAGGGCUGGAACCCACUCUGACAGAUCUACAUCUAUAUCGGCAUUCGGUGCUAGCUGGGCUACUCGGAUCCACUCGAGGAGGUUAGUGAUGACUUCCCUGGGUUUUAUGACAUCGGCAUAACAGAGUGCAAUCGGCAGCUGGCCGAAAGCUAAUUGACGAGCUAGUGCCGAUGGGUUGUAAAACUCAUAGGUUUGGCUAGAAGUUUUUCCACUGCCAAAGAAGUUUACUGGUAUAGCCCUAGGAGUGAUCAAUGCCAUCAUCACUUCAUGAUCCUUGUUGAGAGCAUCGUUGAAUGGAUGAAAGACCAAAGGGAACAUGGUGUCUGGAUCAUCAUAAGGCAGCCAUGCUCGCUGCACUCUGGUUAGGCCUUCAUACAGGGUUUGGAAGAAUCGGCUGAUUUGGUCUGCAUUGCCUCCUAUGCCGGGCAGGACUAUGGCAGCCUCGCCAAAGUUCAGAGGAGGGCGAGUUGCCGAUUCCUCUUCAUCCAGUUCAUGGUUCUCAGCUAUAUCUCUGGGGAAACGCUGUGCAAAGAGGUCGAAUUCAAGGCGCUUGUGCAUGUGGAGGCUGAGCCACAUAUUGAUAAACCACCAGGGACCCCCCAAGUUGCCGAUGGACUGGCCGAGCAGGAGUUUCUUAGCUACCUGGUGGAGGAGAUGGUAGGCAGCACCAAGCAAGUAUCGGCGGAGGGGAAAUCGGCCACCGUUAGCCAGUCUCGCUGCUGCCGAUAGAUAGACAGAAGUCGGUCCUGCCGAUCGGCCACAGAAUAUGAAUUUGUCCAGCCACAUGUUCAGAAAGGUGGUUUGUUCCUUUAUGUUGACGGGCCCCGUCCUACGGUACUUCUGAAUGUACCCUGACCAGCCGCCGAUGGAGCGAGUUUCCACUUUGGCACUAGGUGUGGUGUCAAAAAAGUGGGUGCUGUCGGUAGAGGAUACAUCUAGGCCGGUGAGCAUGACUACAUCGGCAAGAGUAGGGGAAGCAGGGCCGUGGCCAAAGACAAAAGCAUUUAGUGUAUCUGACUAGGAGUAUGAUGCAGCUAUCAACAGUGAUUCGUUCCUGUGCAUAUCGGCAAUGGACAAUCUGAUGCAUUGGUCCAGUUUUCCCUCACCCCACUGGACUUCGUUUGACUGGCUGACUCUCAAAAACCAAUCCUUCCAUCCUACGGUAGGACUGGGCCAGGAGCGAAAGGUAUCCUUCCACAGAUCUAAAGAAAAAUUCUCGGCUCUGAAAGGGAUCCGAUUUGUUUCUGCGUUAAUCAAAUCUGUGGGAUCUGGGUUCCCUAGUGGACCAAGACACUGAAGAUGUGGUUGAUCGGUAGGGAUGGCUAUUUUGUUGGACAGAUCCUAAUGGUUUUGGGUAUGAAAAGAAGAAUAAAAGAAGAAAAAGAGAGAUGUUCAGUAAAAUAAAUUGCGAAUAGACAUGGAUGUGGUAAAGGUACAAGAAAUAGGAUGAUGAACUGACCUCAGGGACGGUGAAGUUGAUGGCCAUUUCCUCGCGAAGGAGGAGAUUAAAGACUUUGAGAUUGGUGGAGGGAAGCCUUCGCUGGAGUUCUUGGAGCUCUCAAACAGCACCGCCGCCAGAAGAGAAGAGUUGGGGUUGUAGAAUGAUGUGAUGGAGAAGGAGUACCCGAGAAGGAACUAUUUAUAGGACAAAACGGGCAAGGGCAAAUCUAACUUAUCUCUUCGCCAUAUCCGUGAAAUCCGAGGGUACUCAGGUAGAUAUGGUAACUGUUCGCACGGUAAUAGUACAGGCGAUUUGACAGGAAGCGGUCAUUAUCCAGAGAUAUUUUACUGUGCGGGAUCUCCUGGUCGGUCCAUCGGCAGCGCUUUGUAACGGUAAUAUUGCCGAUGGGCGAAUAAAGUGGAGAUAGCCGUUUGGGAGGAUAAGCCACGUUACUGAACUGGACGUCCUGGUCAGUCCAUCGGCAAGUCCCUGUAACGGUAAUAUUGCCGAUGGGCGAUUAAAGUGGAGGUGCCCGUUUGGGAAGUUGAGGAUUUCGAGGAAUCCGCGAAAGAAUCAGAUCAGGGUUAUUCGGAUUAAGGCUGUCGGUUACCAAAUUGGGAGAAUUAAUUAUGGAAAGGCAUCAUUUACUACGAAGAAUUUCGGAGCAUUAAUGAUUCCAUACUCCAAAAUUGGGGGGCAUGUGUUGACACCGUUUUUGGGCACGUGUCCAUGAUCGAUAGAGUGUAGGUCGGCAAGACAAGACGGCAGUGCUUGAUCUACAGGAUGAGUUGCCGAUGAGGAUGGUUGCCGAUAGAGGGAUGGCUGAACAUGACCAAGUCCAUAGGUGAUGAUGUGUUUGUGCCGAUGGCUACAACAAGGGAGUCUGCCGAUGAUACGGAGGAUGCACCUGGAAAUUGCCGAUCGGUUUGUGGAGGUGUUCCAGUUUGUCACGGGAGGAUAGUUUUAUGUUUUCCUUAGUUAUUUAGAUCGUUUUAUAUACGGAUUCUGUUUAAUUUGGAAUUCGAGUUCUAGUCGUGUCUGGUUGUAGCUCUUUGAACAGGGUAUAAAUGUAGACCCUAGGGCCUUGUAAUCUAUCUAUCUAUCAAUCAAUCAAAUGCAAGUUUUUACUCAUAUUCCAGCAUCUACUUUUUCGACGACUUCAUCAUAUUUUCCUUUUUACUACGAGUUCUUAGGAAUUCGUUGACUUAAGCUCGGCGUAUUCUCGAGUUCUGCGUGAGUACCUCUUGGCCGUGACAUUCGGGCGCAUCGUUGUUGUCAGGACCAAAGUAUUCGAGUUACCACCUUUGCCGAUAGUAAGGUCAAAUCGGCUAGCACGCCUUAACGUUUGAAUCGGGUAUUAGCCCUUUGUAUUUGCAGAUCCGCUUUUACAUCAACAGGCCUCAUAGGGAAGCCGUCGACAUGCUCAGGCUGGAAGUCGCCAGCAACGGUAGCCCUGACUCGGGCCACGACCUCAUCGUCCGCCGGAGCCUCGUUAGACAUCCGGCAAGCCUCGAGAUCCCAGGACGAAACGUCAGGACCCAUCUCAUCCAUCCUCAACGGCCGAGACAUCAACAGGAGAACCCUCCGAUGAUGGACGACCGAGAGGACGAGAGCGGCUGUUAGGCCUUCCUCGCGCAAUUUCUUCAAGGCGUCGAGGAGGGGGUCGAGCCGCGAUUGGUGGACUUGGACGACGCCGUACGUCCAGUGGGCCGGGCGCUCCGAGAUCAGACGGCCGGUGUAGACAGGAAGGAGAUCGUUGUCAUUCCGUAAGUAGUACCACUGGGAGUCCCAUCCAGCGUGGUUCGAUGUCAAUCCCACCGGGAUGUACUCGCGCGGCCUCUUCAUUUUUCCGGUCUUCAGCACCAGGUUGAGGCACCCGGCCCGUACAGGUUUCCUCACGCCUGUGGUUCCAGUGGGGGCGUUGAAGAGCUCGUCCCGGUACAGAUGGAGCCACAGAUCCCAAUGGGGCAUCAUCCUCAGAUAGCCCUCACACACCGCGGUGUGGUGAUGGCGUUCGGCGAGAAGUGCUGGAGCUCCACCCCGUAGUGGUGGCAGAGCGCCCGCAUGAAACGGCUCGGAGGAGAACCCAAGCCGUGGCAGUGGAACAUGGCGAAGGAGACCACGUAGCCCUUGGGUGGCCUUGGCUCCCGGUGGUCCGCCGCCGGCGCAAUCCACUCCGGCCGCGACGAUAAAGUGCGGGGGCGAAGGAGCCCCUCCCUCUCGAGCUCCAGCAGCCGGCGCUCCGUCAUCGACGACGGGCGCCAGUCAUCGGCGGCGACGAGUCUCACAGGCAUUCUCAGGUGGGAGAAAGGCGACCUCAAUACUGCUCGAGGGUGCGCGCGUGAGAGAUGGCAAGGGAGCUGAUGCAAAGACAAAGGUAGAAGGCGGAAGGAGCGACGGCAACGAGACCACGGGGCAUUUAUAGACGGCAGCCCACCAACAGACAGAUUCGAUAAACACGGUAACUCCUCCCAUAAAUGCGCCGUCUAAUGGUCCUCACCUCGCUCAUAGAUGGGACGCUACGAAUUCCACGCCGGUACAGUGUCGCAACGGCUCCCGCCUAAAAAGGCGCGCCCAACGGGCAAAAAGGUGAACCGCCGUGGUCCUUUUCCUUCCCCUAUAAGCCAAGGUACGUACCCAUGAAAGUCUCGAGAGAUCGUAGGCUGACCCGCCAAAAGGGUUCGACAGCCGAUCUCGAGUACCAGAGUCAGGGAUGCCCGGCGAGUGGUCGAAAAUCGAGGCCCGCCUCGAGAACUCGCUGGGGAUGUCCAAGGUAGGGUUGAGACAGUCGAAAGGAAUCCCAUCGAAGGGAGGCAUCGAGCCAUUGGACUCUAUCGAACGAGACCAGCAUCCCUGACCACGUCGACCCCGCUUUAUGAGAAUGCCUCCGGGCUACAGCUGACCCCCUCGAAAGCGGCACAGGUUCUCACUUGGAUCACCCGCUAGGAGCUCAAUCUGGGGUAGAUGACGCUCGCUCUAUCGAGAGUACGUCGAGACCCCUACGCAAAACGAGCCAAUCAGAACCUUCCACCACAGGAACCUCGACCACAAAAAUAUAGCCUCCACUCGAGCGCAAGCGCUCAAAUGGAGACUCGGGGGCUACUGUCGAGGAUAUCAGUAAGGGGUACCCUAACUGACGUGCAUGACGAGAAUAUCUGUACGCAAGUCGAGGCCUCCGACUCGACGCCCUACCCAGUUAUACGCACGGUCCCCCGCAACCGUAGCCUCGAACACGGAAAGAGCGUCCUGCGAAUCAACCAGGGCUCGAGCACCGGCUACCGUCGAAUACGGAAACAGGAUCGAGCAAAUCGGAAGGCGUCGAGCGCAAGGACGCCGCCCGCCGCCUGACGCGGGCACGAGAACCAGGGCAUUAAAUGCGCCUGUCGCGUUCUCACCUAACCCGCCAGUCACGGGAAGCGUGAUAGGGAACAGGCACCCGUCCUGUCAUUCUUUUUGCAGCCUUCCCCACCAAACAAGCGAGAACGUGGUAGGGCGUUGGGAGUGGGUCGGAACGUCUAAUCAAGGCCCCCUCGAGACGCCCAAGGUCAGUGCACUGGCUAGCAAGGCGUUACACGGCAUCCGACCCUCGAGUAAGCACGUUUCCUUCCUAGGGAAGGGUCAGGUGUCGAAUGACAACAAUACAACCACUCCAACGUAUCUGCCACCAUGACUUACAAGCGUGCAACGGAUAAACCGGUCCAGGAACGGCGCACGGAGCGGGAUACAGGGGCACGCGUAAUCAUCAUCAAGGUACCGAGACAAGAUGGCUUGAGACCACGCCGGUACGGAGGCCUCGAGUAGGUCAGCGUGCCAUACCUCUAUCGACCCCUACUCUGACACCUAUGCAUGUACCCUAGGCCCCUCCUUGGAACUAUAAAAGGGGAGGCCUGGGAGCGGAUACAAGACACGCGAUACAACACAACACACAAGCCAUACGUAGUAGAGUGAACUCACUCCAUCUCCAUCCAUACCACGCUUGUAUUCACCCAUGCACAAGCACUUAGGUGCAGAAUAAUACAAACUCUUCCCCCCCGCUGGACGUAGGGCCUUCUCUUUCCCGAACCAGGAUAAAUCUUUGUGUCUUUUUGCAUCACCAUCUGGGAAAGGGGAGCACGCAUACAAGUUUACUCGUUGGUGUGACCCCCCGGGGGAAAACACCGACAGGUUCUACCCCACAAGGUGGAGUGCACAAGCUAGGAUAAGUGUGCCAGUGCAUUCCUCAAGAAGUUCUUCCUAUCAGGCAAGACUAGUGCCCUGCCGGGGAAGAUCUCAAGCUUCUAACAACAGGCUGAUGAGACGAUUCCUGAAGCCUGGGAACGUCUUCAGGAGUACAUUCGCGCCUGUCCUCAUCAUGGAAUAGAGGAAUGGCUCCUCAUUCAAGGUUUCUACCAUGGGCUGACCGGUGUAUCCCGUAGUCACCUUGAUGCAGCAGAAGAAGGCGCAUUCUUGCAACAGAAAGUCAAGGAUGCUAAGGACCUCAUUGAGAAAAUGGUUAUCAACCAAGGAUGGAAUGAGGAACGCCUCCAGCCCAAGAAAAGAGGUGUCCACGCCCUCAGCGAAGUGGACAUGCUCUGUCCCAAGAUGGACCUCCUCAUGAAGAAAGUUGAGGAAAGUUCCAAAAAGGAACAGGAGGCCAUCCAACCUUACGCCCCCAUACAAGCCAUCAUAGCCGACACCUGGUGCGAGGUGUGCAUAGGAGGCGAUCACUCGGCUGAUGAUUGCCCCGAGACAAAGGAGGAAGUGAGCUUCAUCAACAACAACCACAACAACAACGGGUACCGGCCCCCACAAUAGAAACAACAAGGAUGGAACUCGCACACCUUCUACCAAGGACAUGGUAAUGGUUAUAACAAUAAUUUUAAUAACGGUUUUAGUAACCAACCUUCCUUAAAAGAUCUUGUCUUAGGCCAGACUAAAAUCAACAAUAGUACAAGUAAGAAAAUGAUGGCUAAUGACAAGAUUCUUGAAAGUCUUAGUGAAAAGAUGGAUAACUUUAACUUUGCUAUGAAAAACUAGUUGAGCUUUAAUAAAAUGGUAGAAACACAAUUAGCUCAGUUAGUAGCAGCUGUGUCGUCCUCUAGGCAAGGUAAGAUUCCUAGGAAGUCUGAAGAUCCCAUUGAGGGGGUCAGGAUGGUAAACACGCGGUUCACGAACCUGUGGCCAAAGUCCAUCUAGAUCCACAAGUUGGACUCACCAUUCUUGGUCAAGAGGGACAACCUAGGCCUACCCAUAAUCACUUGCCAGAUCAGACCACGGAUCUUCAACAAUGCCUUCUGCGACCUUGGAUCAGGAGUCAACAUCAUAUCCAAGGUAACUUAUGAUAACCUGUUAGGAGGUCCUUUGGACCCCACAUUUGUACGUCUGUAGAUGGCAGAUCAGAGCUUCCGGUUCCCAGAGGGACUGGCAAGGGACAUCUUGAUCAAGAUCAAGAACACCUAUGUCGUGGUUAACUUCAUCGUGUUGGACAUGGGGUCCAACACCGAUGUCCCCAUCAUCUUGGGACGUCCGUUCUGAGCAUGGUGGAGGCCACCAUUUACAUGGGGGCUGCCCAGAUCCACAUGUAGUUCAACAGCAGAUGGAGGGUAAGAGUUCCCUUUAGUGGUUUAAAGUUUACAUGCAGGAAGAGGAAAAGGCUCCCCAGCCUAAACCUCGCCGCAACGACCGCCGAAUGAAGAACUGCCGGAAGAGCGCAUCGGCUAAAAAGGCCGAAGCCAAAGAAGAAGAACCCGCUUAGAUGCCAAUAGAAGUCAAACAAGAAUGGAGGGCAAAGGAUGUGCAGUCACGGUCCCCAUCUCCGGGAUCGACAGAUGUCUCCAUAGAAUGAACAUGACGGAGAGGUCCUCGCUCUGCGGACCUAAAAUACAGAGUCCUCGCUGAUAAGGUAUGUCAGUAUUUAUAUACAUAUUUAAAUUCUGCAUUGCAUGUUUAAUUUUAAUCUUCCAUAUUUAAAGUUUUUAUCUUGCAUCUUUAUUUUCACAAAAUAAUUUAGUCAUUCAGAAUAAAAUCUUGAGGAUAGUUUGCAAUAAAGAUCUGAGUUGUGGGACCUCCCAUAGGGGGCUCGGCCGAGCCCCUUACUGGGCCCAUAGCCAUCCUUUCCUGUUUGGCUCUACUCUUCUCGAUGCUCUCAUUCUGACACAGCACUUGGUUGCUCCCGAGGAGCUCAAGUGGGGAUCGGCCGAUCCCCAACUUGUCCCCCUCUGCACCCUAUUGCCUCGCUUUUGCCACACACAAACAUAGAGAGCAUCCCAACACAGACAGAAUCUGAAAAGCAGUGGUCCACUUUCACUUUAAGCAUAGAUUCCAUCUUUUGCUUUUGAACCACUAUCUUUCCACUUUCUUCAAAGAGGAGACACACAUGCAAAACUGUCAUAGCUUUAGUCAUGUCCCCUCUUUAGGCAAACAUCUUUUUACCUUUCACCAAACACUAGGCUAGGGAAUCUCUAAAAAGCAACAACAUUUCUUGUCACACAUCCAGCAUCUGCUUUAUCAGACAACUGAUGACACAAAAGCUAAAGCUGAAAAGCCCAAAGUAAGAGCUCGGCCGAUCCCCUCUUUGGAGGCUUUCCAAAAAUUUAUGACAAAGCUUGUCUAAGUAAAGCAAGAUUCCCUGCCUAAAGCAAAAUUCAAAUUCAAACCCCAUAGGGGAGGGAUCGGCCGAUCCCUUUAGAUGGGCCCCACCUGGUGUCCUUCUCCCCUAUAAAUACUAGGGUAAUGUGAGCUCAUUCCUCAACUCAAACAACAAAAAUCAUCUUGAGCUCACAAGUCCCCUUCUUUCCUUCUUUAUUGCAAGUCUCUUCUCAAGCUUAGUUUUGUUCUAGCAUCUCAUAAACAAAAACACCAAAAAUAUUCAGUUUUAGUUGCAUAGUAUUGGUAGUAGGAGUUUGGCUAGACUCACCCCUACAGCCAAGAUGAAGAAGAGGGUCAUGGAGAAGAUCAAUUGGGCCCGAGGUCAUGGUUCCUCUUGUAGCUCACCAUGCUCCGACGAGGGGAGCCACUCAAGGCAAGCAGAUGCGGAGGUUCACCACUCCUUGGUACCUUAUGCACCCCCUGCAAGAGUGAUGGAGCCCGAAUGUGGCCUCAUACUGAGUCCCGAGGAGCUGCAAAAGUAUCACACUCUUUGUAACAUCGCCUAUGCCUCCACCAACAUCAUUGACCCCAAUCUCUUAGAUCGCAUAGCUAUAACCUCCGAGUUCAAAACCAUUUUUUACACAAUUGGCGGGGGUGUUUUUUGGAUGAUUCAUGAGUUGGGCAAUGAAUUGCUUACCCAUGAGUUCUUAUGCACUUUGAAAACUUCUCAAAAUGGGGUAACUUUUUGAAUGUUCAAUUUGGAUUUUGAUUUGACUUGGAGUGCGCUUAACAACGCUCUGGGUUGUGAUCAUGAUUGCUCUUUUGAUUUGAAUUUUGCCGUUAACAAUUUUGAUAAGACUAGAUUUUGGAAGGCAAAUUCUGGUUCGAGCGAUUCUUCUGGUCCCACUGCCCCCGAAAUUCAUAACCCAACUUUGCGCGUUAUCCAUUAUUGGAUGUUUGUCACUCUUUUUCCUGGAACCAAUGGCUUGCAAGAUGUUGAGCUUAAACUGCUUUUUGCAAUGGUUAAGAAGACGAAAGUUUCACCUGCAAAAGUGCUAGUUAGAUAUUGGCAUGGUUAUGCCACACUUGAUAGGCCAAUCUAUUUCACUUCCUUUAUCACCCGUUUAGCCGAAUCUUUUGGUUUGCUCGAUUCCCAUGAGUACGCUUGCAUCUCUCAUCCAAGAGACAUUUUGGGGAAGAGUUUUUCAUUCGAACGGGUGUUCUUAAGAAGGGUCCUCAGGGUGAGUUUAUCAUGGUUUACCUAGGCCAUACAGCUGAGAUCUUGCUCCCUUGUGAGCAACGUCAGCUGUAUAGGCUCCGCACACUAACCAUCAAGCUAGACCCUGGGGUAGAGCCAGAUUUUGUAGGUACACAUAGGGUGACAAGAGGUAUGUCAUGAGCUACCCGGAUGGACGAAGUAGGCCCCUCACGUCCAGCAGGAUAUGAUGUUGAGAGGGGUGAGGAGGUAAGCUAUAUGGACAGAUCAGAGUCCAUGGGCAUACCUUCGUCCCAUCAGCACACCUCUCAGCCUCGAGGGCGACGUCCCCCAAGGACGGACAUUGACGACCUCAUCAACGACAUGGGCACUAUGCACGUGGAGCACCAGGUGACUCUGCAGAUCACCAAGCAUAAUGCACAGAUGGCGCAAGUAUUCCGCAAAGAAGAACUUUGACGCCAAGCUGAUUGGUUCCACCACUUCUAUCCACCAUAGUGAGCCAACAGCCAGCUUGGGGGAGAUCCUCUCUCCCACUCAGAUGAGUAUCUUGCUAUCCACUCUUUUAUUUUUUGUAUCUUAAAUUUAAAAAGACCAAAAAUAUUUAGCUUGCUUAUUAUUUCCCAUAGUUCAUGUUUGUGAAUGGUUAUCUUUCUUCUGGAAAUGAUGAGUAGUUGCUUUGUUAAUGUUUCUCUAGUGCCUAGUUUACAACUUAGUGCUUCUCCAAGUAUGAAUUACUUAGCUUCGCAAGACCAUCAUGAACCUAAAACUUUGUGGGUUGCGAGUGCUAAUAACUGCGUCUAAGUUCUUGAGGGAUACGAGAUAGUAUGAUAGGAGCUGCUAUAAUAUUGUUCUAAGCUUGUUGAGUACCAGAGAUUUAUUUUAUAAAAAUGACCAAAAACUAAUUUGUUCCUCAAUGGUUAUAAAAUUUCUACUAGAGCCAAAUAUACUUUAAAAUGUUGCAAACCUUCUACAUAUGCUAUUUGCUUUGUGUUGAGUGUGGUCAAGGCUUGUGACCGUUGUUUAGAGAUUUAUCAUGCUCCUAGGAUCAAGAAUCAACCAGCCACAAACUCAUUGCUACCUCCAUCUAAAGUACGCAUUUACCCAUACACCGCACCACCAUGCUGCUUCCACUCUGGGAGUACGCAACUCCACUCAUACAUAUCCCUCUGCCACUUCUACUUUGGAAGUGCGCAUUCAUACCAUCUCCACCAUAUGGGUUGCUCCAUGCUUUAAAAGUAAAAAAUUUCAUUCUCUCUAAGGUUAGCAGUUGGUAUAUGUGGCAUAGUUAAAGGCUAGCAUGAAUAAGUAUUAGUUCCAUUCAAGUUAUCAGAGAUACCCUCUCUCUCAAAAAAAGAGGGGAAAGAAAGGAAGCAAUUAGACUCUAGCCUUGCCUCAGUAAAAAAAGAGAAGUCAUCAAUUAGAGGAGCAACCUAUCCACCAUCCAUUCCACAUAUACUAUCCACCGUCCACUCCAUUCCUUACACUUGCACAUCUUGAUCUGGGAGUAUGACACUUCUCUACAGGUAUCCAAGUUUUGACUACGCAACAUAUGCAAAGUAAGUAUGCCAUCUCUUUCAUCCAUACCUUAAGCUCCACCUAAGCCUGAUGAAACUUUGAAGGCAACUUAUUAUAUGCCUUGGUGAGGAAUCAUACACCAUUG